CUGUCAGAUCCCGACUCCGGCAGCGACUUCAAGACCACUUUGCCCACCCAGAAAAAAACGUGGACGCCCCCAGAGGUCCAACCAAGGGCCGACCCUGAAGCACUCCUGGCGUUCCAAUGGGAUCAAGACGAACCCGGAGGAGAAUUCCCUUUUCCAGGCUGUUUUGUUGGGAAAAGCAGUGGUGGAGACGUUGGUGGAUGAGUGGCUGGAAUUGUACAAACAGGAUCAGGAAUCGGGAUUGUUGGAGCUGCUCAACUUCAUCAUCAGGGCUUGCGGGUGCAGAGGU
Pseudopipra pipra is the source of this 286-nucleotide long non-coding RNA. RefSeq lists it as uncharacterized. The transcript has 3 exons. Lineage: Eukaryota; Metazoa; Chordata; Aves; Passeriformes; Pipridae. The record is from RefSeq and is a predicted model, not a curated record.